GGAGAUCUUCAUUAUAAUCAAAGUGGUGUACAAAAUAUGUCUCUUUCAUGAAACCCUAAUUCCAAAAAAUACAUCCAUACUCUCUCUCUCAUUUUCCGCAUUAAACCAAUGGAAUAAAGAAUAUAUUUAUAAUAGUGGCUAAAUCCUAAUGCAACUAUAAAUACAAACCCACUAAAAUUAGGAAUAUCUCAAUAAAAUUAGAAAUAAUCUAAACUUAACUUAAUGGGACAAUCUCUCAAGUGGCAAAAGGCUUGGUGGUUGGUACACGAGACCCAAGUUCAAAUUCUAGUUGAUUCACAUUUCUAGCUAAAUUUAUUUCUAAAUGAAAUACACGAAGCGGGUAGUGUGCUACCUAUCUCUCAUAAAAAAAAAAAACUUAAUGGGACAAUCAAAACAGAAUAGAGUUAGAAAAUCUUGCGGUACUAGAAUUCGAGACAUAUUUAACAUGAUUUAAACAUAAUUUAAACAUAAU
RNAcentral lists this long non-coding RNA (472 nucleotides) under Ananas comosus (pineapple). RNAcentral describes it as "long non-coding RNA (ACOM_LNC021690)". Lineage: Eukaryota; Viridiplantae; Streptophyta; Magnoliopsida; Poales; Bromeliaceae. The record is from RNAcentral.